RNAcentral lists this transfer RNA (71 nucleotides) under Enyalioides praestabilis. RNAcentral describes it as "tRNA-Ile". The record is from RNAcentral. Lineage: Eukaryota; Metazoa; Chordata; Lepidosauria; Squamata; Hoplocercidae.
GGGGAAGUGUGCCCGAAUUCAAGGACUACUUUGAUAGAGUAGACAAAAGAGGUUAAAAUCCACUCACUUCC